Thamnophis elegans (Western terrestrial garter snake) is the source of this 644-nucleotide long non-coding RNA. RefSeq lists it as uncharacterized. Lineage: Eukaryota; Metazoa; Chordata; Lepidosauria; Squamata; Natricidae. The record is from RefSeq and is a predicted model, not a curated record. The transcript is spliced from 2 exons.
UUUGUUAUAUGUACAGUGAAAGGCAUGGUGUACUAUGGUCUUUCUUCCCUCCAUCCAUACAGCUGUCCUCGAAACAUUCUGAGGCAGAGCAAUAGAAGAAAGAGACUGAACUUCCUGUCUAAGCAACUUUUUGAUUGUUUAAUAAAAGCCAAAAAGGACUUCUGAAUAAAUUAUUGGAUAUCUUUUGUAGCUGCUUAGCCAAGAUAUUCAGAGAGGGACCCAAUCCAUUGUUUUUAGUCAUGCUUAUCCAACACAGUUUUGGGGAGAGCAGAAUGAUAGAUGCCACCCUAAAUUUCUUAAUUCCAUUUAUAUAUGGAAUUGCAUAUAUAAAAACCUUUCUGUAUGACAUGUACAUUAAAACAGAAUGCAUUGAAAAGAUGUUGCUCAGAGUGACAGGUUUGAAGACUUUGAAUCGUAAGCUGUUAAUAUAUAACAGGCAGCUUGGAGAAGCCUGCAGACUUAAGAGUAAAGUGUAUAUGUUGCAUCCAGAGAUCACAAUUGCAUAUAUAAAAACCUUUCUGUAUGACAUGUACAUUAAAACAGAAUGCAUUGAAAAGAUGUUGCUCAGAGUGACAGGUUUGACGACUUUGAAUUGUAAGCUGUUAAUAUAUAACAGGCAGCUUGGAGAAGCCUGCAGACUUAAG